GCAUAUCAAUAAGCGGAGGAAAAGAAACCAACAGGGAUUGCCCUAGUAACGGCGAGUGAAGCGGCAACAGCUCAAAUUUGAAAUCUGGCUUCGGCCCGAGUUGUAAUUUGUAGAGGAUGCUUUUGGUGAGGUGCCUUCUGAGUUCCCUGGAACGGGACGCCAGAGAGGGUGAGAGCCCCGUAUAGUCGGCCACCGAUCCUCUGUAAAGCUCCUUCGACGAGUCGAGUAGUUUGGGAAUGCUGCUCAAAAUGGGAGGUAUAUCUCUUCUAAAGCUAAAUAUUGGCCAGAGACCGAUAGCGCACAAGUAGAGUGAUCGAAAGAUGAAAAGCACUUUGAAAAGAGGGUUAAAUAGCACGUGAAAUUGUUGAAAGGGAAGCGCUUGUGACCAGACUUGUGCCGGGCUGAUCAUCCAGUGUUCUCACUGGUGCACUCGACCCGGCUCAGGCCAGCGUCGGUUCUCGUAGGGGGAUAAAAGCUUCGGGAACGUGGCACCUUCGGGUGUGUUAUAGCCCGUUGCUUAAUACCCUUGUGGGGACCGAGGUUCGCGCUCUGCAAGGACGCUGGCAUAAUGGUCAUCAGCGACCCGUCUUGAAACACGGACCAAGGAGUCGAGGUUUUGCGCGAGUGUUUGGGUGUAAAACCCGCACGCGUAAUGAAAGUGAACGUAGGUGAGAGCUUCGGCGCAUCAUCGACCGAUCCUGAUGUAUUCGGAUGGAUUUGAGUAAGAGCGUAUAGCCUCGGACCCGAAAGAUGGUGAACUAUGCCUGAAUAGGGUGAAGCCAGAGGAAACUCUGGUGGAGGCUCGCAGCGGUUCUGACGUGCAAAUCGAUCGUCAAAUUUGGGCAUGGGGGGCGAAAGACUAAUCGAACCAUCUAGUAGCUGGUUACCGCCGAAGU
This 896-nucleotide ribosomal RNA is filed under the name Coniochaeta mutabilis. RNAcentral's name for it is "LSU rRNA". It matches the Rfam family "Eukaryotic large subunit ribosomal RNA", at positions 38 to 967 of the family's 3401-position model. The record is from RNAcentral. Lineage: Eukaryota; Fungi; Ascomycota; Sordariomycetes; Coniochaetales; Coniochaetaceae.